GGUCCUAAACUUACCGCUGUUUUUGACUAAGAUUACACAUGCAAGUAUCCACAUGCCGGUGAAAACGAGCCCAAAAAUUAAAAAGGAGCAGGUAUCAGGCACGAAAUUCAGCCCAAGACACCUUGCCAUGCCACACCCCCACGGGAACUCAGCAGUGAUAAACAUUGGGCCAUAAGCAACAACCACCCCAAACUUGACCCAGCUAUAGUCAUUUAGGGCCGGCUAAUCUCGUGCCAGCCGCCGCGGUUAUACGAGAGGCCCGAAUCAGCAUACAACGGCGUAAAUUGUGACUAGAUUAAAGCUAUAAACAAAGGGGAGAAGCCCACCCAAUUAGUAAAAUAAAAGAUAAAAGAACCCCCUUUACUAAAAGCACUUUGAACUCACGAAAGCUAAGAAACAAACUAGGAUUAGAUACCCUACUAUGCUUAGCCAUUAAUAAGCCAUACACCAACAACCAUGGUCGCCAGAGAAUUACAAGCGAAAAGCUUAAAACUCAAAAGACUUGGCGGUGCCCCAAAUUCAACUUAGAGGAGCCUGUCCUAUAAUCGAUACCCCACGAUAAACCAAACCCCUCUUUGCCAAACCAGCCUAUAUACCGCCGUCGCAAACCUACCUCACAAGAGAAAAGCCGUAGGUAAAAUAGUACCCCACUAAAACGUCAGGUCAAGGUGUAGCUAAUAGAGGGGAAGAGAUGGGCUACAUUCUUUAAUAGUGUAAAGCAUACAGAAAGAGCCCUGAAAUCUCUCUAGAAGGUGAAUUUAAUAGUAAAUCUGGUAAGAAAGCCAGCUUUAAUACUGCUCUGAGGCGCGCACACACCGCCCGUCACCCUCAU
Molecule: non-coding RNA, 832 nt
Filed under: Tropidurus lagunablanca
Lineage: Eukaryota; Metazoa; Chordata; Lepidosauria; Squamata; Tropiduridae
Description: partial small subunit ribosomal RNA
Rfam family: Bacterial small subunit ribosomal RNA
Source: RNAcentral